Molecule: small RNA, 887 nt
Filed under: Pongo abelii (Sumatran orangutan)
Lineage: Eukaryota; Metazoa; Chordata; Mammalia; Primates; Hominidae
Description: retained intron
Source: RNAcentral
CCGUCUCUACUAAAAAUACAAAAAAUUAGCCAGGUGUGGUGGCAGGCGCCUGUAGUCCCAGCUACUAGGGAGGCAGAGGCAGGAGAAUGGUGUGAACCCAGGAGGCAGAGCUUGCAGUGAGCUGAGAUCGCGCCACUGCACUCCAGCCUGGGGGACAGAGCGAGACUCCGUCUCAAAAAAAAAAAGUUGAUGUAUGGAGCUGCAGCGCCUUUUUCCCUUGCCCUCCUCAUAACUACUUUCUCUUCCCUUGCAGACCCAUGGGGAAAUGAGAAAGAACCACCGGCUGGUAAGUUGGCAUUGGGAUUUAUGGAAUGAUAAUCUGAUGGAGGAAGUGUGACUUUAACCAACCACCUCCCUCUCUUCUCGGGCAGAAAAUUGGCUUCUUCAACCAGCAGUAUGCAGAGCAGCUGCGCAUGGAGGAGACGCCCACUGAGUACCUGCAGCGGGGCUUCAACCUGCCCUACCAGGAUGCCCGCAAGUGCCUGGGCCGCUUCGGCCUGGAGAGUCACGCCCACACCAUCCAGAUCUGCAAACUCUCUGGUGGUCAGAAGGCGCGAGUUGUGUUUGCUGAGCUGGCCUGUCGGGAACCCGAUGUCCUCAUCUUGGACGAGCCAACCAAUAACCUGGACAUAGAAUCUAUUGAUGCUCUGGGGGAGGCCAUCAAUGAAUACAAGGGUGCUGUGAUCGUUGUCAGCCAUGAUGCCCGACUCAUCACAGAAACCAAUUGCCAGCUGUGGGUGGUGGAGGAGCAGAGUGUUAGCCAAAUCGAUGGUGACUUCGAAGACUACAAGCGGGAGGUGUUGGAGGCCCUGGGUGAAGUCAUGGUCAGCCGGCCCCGAGAGUGAGCUUUCCUUCCCAGAAGUCUCCCGAGAGACAUACUUGUGUGG